CAGCCUCGGGGAACUGGGCGACGUGGGCCUGGGAUCGUGGGUGCGCUUGUCACGGGCACCGGGAGCGUGCGGGCGUCUGAGCUUUGGGCACUGCGGGGCUGCGGGCUUGGCGCCCCGGAAGGCGGGUGCCCCAGCCGGCCGUGAUCCCGGGGUUCCUGAGACUGACGAGGGCAAGGAGAGCUAAGGGAUGGGGGAAAUGGUGGCCCCUGGGCAGAAGCUACCAACAAGGGGCUUGCGGCUGCCAGAAAGAAGUGAUGGUGACAUUUGAAACCCACAGGGACAGAAGCCCACCAGUGUGCUGACAGGUGUCAAGAGCCAGGAUGCUGGGAUGAUGCCCUUGGAGGCCCUGGUGUCCCCCCUGCCCAGGUGCUAGGAGCCGUCCCCAGGCUCCAACUGGGAGCCCUGCUGCCCAGGGGCAUGGCCAAACCUUUCUUCAGACUCCAGAAGUUUCUCCGCAGAACACAGUUCCUGCUUCUCUUCCUCACGGCCGCCUACCUGAUGACCGGCAGCCUGCUGCUCCUGCAGCGGGCCAGAGU
This 536-nucleotide long non-coding RNA is filed under the name Rattus norvegicus (Norway rat). RNAcentral's name for it is "long non-coding RNA NONRATT004517". Lineage: Eukaryota; Metazoa; Chordata; Mammalia; Rodentia; Muridae. The record is from RNAcentral.